RNAcentral lists this transfer RNA (70 nucleotides) under Escherichia coli. Its description in RNAcentral is "tRNA-Pro(ggg)". It matches the Rfam family "tRNA". Rfam says of the family: Transfer RNA (tRNA) molecules are approximately 80 nucleotides in length. Their secondary structure includes four short double-helical elements and three loops (D, anti-codon, and T loops). Lineage: Bacteria; Pseudomonadati; Pseudomonadota; Gammaproteobacteria; Enterobacterales; Enterobacteriaceae. The record is from RNAcentral. RNAcentral also lists the same sequence under 2 other names.
CGUAGCGCAGCCUGGUAGCGCACCGUCAUGGGGUGUCGGGGGUCGGAGGUUCAAAUCCUCUCGUGGACCA